ACGGCGAGUGAACCGGGAAGAGCUCAAAUUUGAAAUCUGGCGUCCUCAGGGCGUCCGAGUUGUAAUCUAUAGAGGCGUUUUCCGUGCCGGACCGUGUCCAAGUUCCUUGGAACAGGAUAUCAAAGAGGGUGACAAUCCCGUACUUGACACGACGACCGGUGCUCUGUGAUACGUCUUCUACGAGUCGAGUUGUUUGGGAAUGCAGCUCAAAAUGGGUGGUGAGUUCCAUCUAAAGCUAAAUAUUGGCGAGAGACCGAUAGCGAACAAGUACCGUGAGGGAAAGAUGAAAAGCACUUUGGAAAGAGAGUUAAACAGUACGUGAAAUUGUUGAAAGGGAAACGAUUGAAGUCAGUCGUGACCGAGAGGCUCAGCCGGUUCUGCCGGUGUAUUCCCCUCGGUCGGGUCAACAUCAGUUUUGUCCGGUGGAUAAGGGCGGUAGGAAGGUGGCACCCUCGGGUGUGUUAUAGCCUGCCGUCGCAUACAUCGGGUGAGACUGAGGAACGCAGCUCGCCUUUAUGGCCGGGGUUCGCCCACGUCCGAGCUUAGGAUGUUGACAUAAUGGCUUUAAACGACCCGUCUU
RNAcentral lists this ribosomal RNA (580 nucleotides) under Papiliotrema laurentii. Its description in RNAcentral is "partial large subunit ribosomal RNA". It matches the Rfam family "Eukaryotic large subunit ribosomal RNA", at positions 86 to 655 of the family's 3401-position model. The record is from RNAcentral. Lineage: Eukaryota; Fungi; Basidiomycota; Tremellomycetes; Tremellales; Rhynchogastremaceae.